CCCCUAUAUAUAUAUUUGACUACAUGACCGAUUAAACAAUCUGAACUCAUUUAUUGACAUCACAAAUGCUUCAAGUGCUUCAGCCUCCAUGCAAGAGGGUGAAUCGUUUUCUACUCUCACCAAGGUUGUAGGUACCACAAAGAGAAGCAUCCAAAGUUAGUUGAAAGAUGGCUCAAAAAGCGAUGGAUCGUAUGCUUCUACACCAGCUAUCAAGCCGGGUAUUUAACCAUCUUCAAUUCUUCUAUAGAUUAGAAACUUCCUUUGCUUAUUUCACAUGGUGGAUUUACAAAUGACGUUUUAUGGUAUCUUGUUUCAUGAACAACUUUUAUAUAUAUAUAUAUAUAUGUAUAUAUAUAUAUAUAUAUACAUAUACAUAUAUAUAUAUAUAUGUAUGUAUAUAUAUAUAUGUAUCUAUAUACAUAUAUAUGUAUGUAUAUAUAUGUACGUAUAUAUAUGUGUGUAUAUAUAUAUGUAUAUAUAUGGGUGAAUUAUAGGGAGAAAUCCCAUUUGAGUUGCAAAAACUCUGAAAACCUAAUGGAUUGACAUAAUGUUGCCACGUGUUACACUUUUUCCCUACAACAUUUUUAUUGACGUCUGCAACAUUUUCUGACACUGACACACUUUUCGUAACAGUGGAGAGUGGAGAGAGAAUAUGUUACAUUUUUCAAUUGUUCACAUUUUUUGUAACUCAUCUGUAACAUAUUUUUAUUAUGUUUUUAAAUAAUAUAAAGUGUAUAAAUUUUAGAAAUUAUAAUUUACGAAAUUAUUAUUUUGUAAUGUGCGUAAAAAUAUUUUACAUUUUCUACAGCGAAAUUUCUAUGUAACAAUGAUGUUGUCACAUUUUUUUGUGUCAAAUGUGAGAGGAGAGAGAAAAAUGUAACACUUUAGACUUUUUGUUAGACUUUAACAUUUUUCUGAAAAGGUAACAUUUUUGUACCUUCUUAAUAUCCACCAUUGAUUAAAGGUGGAGUUGAAGUUUUUUGGGUUUCUUUAACUAAGGUGGGUUUUCGAUUAAUCAUUUCCCUGUACGUAUGUAUGUAUAUAUAAACGUAAGGGUUUGUCUACAAAGGACAUUUUUCAUAAAAGUGUGAGAAGUCUAUAUAAACAUUGUGUUUUAAAUUUUAAGCAUGAUAUUUUAGAUUCUUUUAAUAUGCCAUUACAUAGAAAAAUACCAAAUUUAACAAUUUAAAACAGAAUUUAAUGUAUUCUAGGCAUGAAUUUUAAAACACCAUAGAAAGUUAAGCAUUGUGUAUUAAUUUUCAUGCCUAAAAUACCUUUGACUAUGUUUUAAAUUGUUAUGUUUGGUGUUUUUGUGUAUAAUACUAGGCAAAAAAAAAAACACUAAAGCAUCAAGCCCAACAUUUAAAAACAAUGCCUAAGUAAACUUCUAACGCUUUUAAGAAAAAAAAUUGUUCUUUGUAGACGUGUGCAUGCUCAUGCUUUUGCAUAUGAAAUUCAAUGAAUAGACUAAGUGAGUGUGAUCCUUACAAAUUACUCAUUGUGUUUAUCAAUUAUAAUGUUGUGUGUACUAUUUGUAACACGAAAGUUUACUCUUUUUUCUCGGUAACCAAGUCUGUGAAGCAACAACUUGUGACAACAUUAAGCAUAUCAAUGAAUUUAUAAACAGUGUCAUAAUGUUUGGAUUUUUGGAUGUCCAUUAACUUAAUUUAUGAUUCUCUUUGGGUUUGAUUAGGAUAAUAAAAUUGGUUUCACCGGUGUCACAAUGUUUCCAUUUUCGUGUUGCUUGAUUGUCAAAUGCAUAUGUAACACUACAAAAUUAUAAUAUUUUAUGAAUGGCACAUAAUACGCUCCUACAUGCCUAAGUUUGCAUCUACUUCUAGUAUCGAUAGUUGACUUACAUAAUCUUAAUGUUUUUCUUACACAGACUACUAUGAUAUAAAUUCUAUUCUUGAUCAAAACUUAAAACAAAAACAUCCAAUAAUUAAAGUAGAAUUAACCGAAAAUCUUUAACACCAUGGAAAUUUUAGACGAAUUGGUGUAACUCUAGUAUCAAACACGUAUAUGAAACAUAAUAAUUGAUAUGUGAUAAUAGGCAACAUAGGACAACAUAUACCUAUGUAGCAAAGGUUCUAUAUAUACGAUAUGACACGAAACAUUAAACCUCUAUUGAUACAUAAAUGAAGAUCAUAGUAUCACACUUUUAACUCACGGAUAUGUUGUUACUUGACCUAGUGGAAACUUUCUAAGAUGUCCCCCAUCGUAUAUUACUCUCACUCACGCAUGUCUGCAGAAUUGUGAAAUUGUCUCAUAAUCCAUAGUCAAUGUACCCAGAACACAUUGACCUAUAGUGGUUGACACGACAUAAGGGGAGAACGGGAGAUGAUUGAAUUUUCACUUUGUCAAAAGUCAUUAUUUAUUUUGUCAUUGAUAACUCUCACCCCACACCCCCAAAUCUAAUCUACUUUUAAUUCUACUCCAUAAUUCAAAGCUGGACUAAACAUGCGACCUUUAUGAAAGGGAACACCAUUUACAAACCAAGAUAUCAUUGAAAUAAAUGCGCUUAUGUAUGUUUUAUUAGUUUAGGUCCCUGAAAAACCAAUUCUAGAUUUGAAUGGUUCAAAAGAUCUUCAAAAUAUAUUCCAACAAAUAAAGUCUUGAAAUGGUAUAAAUCAUCUUUUAAAAGUACGGUUUUGUAUGAGAAAACAUCGGGGAGUGUGCUUUUUAGUUGGGAGCCUUGCUCACUUCACUUUCAAGCUAGAAAUGAGGUUACAAGGUCUGUUGAGCUUGAUUUCAAAACAAGUCAUAAAGGUAUAGUAUCGAUUGAAAAGAUUUCGUUUUUCGCCAUGGUGAUGCAUGGGAAAUUCAUAAACGUCCAUUUCGGGACAUAAGGAAUCGUAAAGUCGAUAUCUUGAUCUUUUUUUAUGUUUGAUCCAAAGUUACCAUCAACUCAAUCGAGUUAGGGUUCCAUAGAAGAAAAUAGGUAUGUCCGCGCGUCAAUUUGCGUGCACGCAUUAGACUUAGUGCACAAUGAUUGGUGUGGUACUUUGCGCUUGGAUAAUUUUAAGUUUGUUAGUAGUAGUUUACACUCAGCCCUAAGCGAAACUAUAAUUCGCGCAACACUUGACUUUGUGUGUGGGAAUAGUCCGCGUGUAGACUUAGUUUACACAUAAACCUAGUUUGCACAAGUUGGGGUUUGCACACUUACAUUAGAGCUCAAUGUUGGUAUUGAACUUGUAUGUUGACCCUCUUUGACUUAGGACUCUUGACUUAGGACUCCGAGUGUCGAGAUCUUUCUGAUUACAACAGAUUAUGACAUAUUAUCAAAGUUAAGUUUCUAGGUCCUCUUUAUAAUAUUUUUUGGGGUGAUGUGCAUACUUGACCUAGUUUUCAUUGUAAAGUUUAUGUUUUAAAGUAUGGCAUAGUUUGAUGAAGCUUUUAAAGUAAUGAUAUAGUUUUCAAAGUAAAGUCUACAUUUUAGAAUAUGACAUAGUUUGAUGAAGCUUUCAAAGUAAGGUGUAUGUGUUAAAGUAUGAAAUAGUUUGAUGAAGUUUGCUAAAGUUAAAAUAUAGUAAAGUGACAAAGUGUUAUAGUAUAAAAUGCCCAUAGUUUUCAUGAUGCAUAUUUUAAAGUCUAAAGGAGACUUUCGCGUCUAAAAUCAAUAUCGGUGUCUAAGUUUAACACCGUGGUCACAAAUAACGUCUAAAUUUAACGAUGUGAUCUUGAAAGGCGUCUAAAGUUAACGCUAAGUUAACACCAUGACCAAAAGAUAAUUAAAGGGGGGUUGCAUUUGUGGCUUGCUAGUGGUUGUAUAACUACGUAUAGUUUAGUAUGCAUGUUACAGUUUUAUAGUAAAAUCUAUGUUUGUUGCAUGGUGUAAAGUUAUAGGUCGUAAUGAUGUGCUUUAUAUGUGUUUCGUGUUAACUGCUUCCUAAAGUUUGUCGUUGCCUUAUUAAACUAGAACUCACUCCGCGUAGUGGACUUUUAAUAUUUUUUUUUGGGAUAUGGAGUGCUCGGGAAGGUGAUGAAGGUUUUAGAUAGAAGACUGGCAUCCCAUCUAUCUUUUUUAGUUAUUGUUUGCUAAAGACUUGUUAUGUUUAAUUAUGUUUUAACAAUUAUAACGACCUAAAGUUUUCGAUGUAGUUGAAUGGAAUUUAUGGCUAUGAAUUGUUUGUCAAAGUGUAAAUUCAACAGAUGACCCCCCCCCCCCCCCCCGGGUUUGGGGCGUUUCGAAGUAACACCAACAUAAGGGAAUAAAACGGAUACUACAUGACAUCUAUUGGGGUGUGUGUGUGCGCGCACAUGUUGAUUUUUUCCAUCUUAAGACACAUGUUGAUGAUAAAUAAGAGGUUAUUCACGUAUGUCCAUGAAUUUUAGCUUACAUUGAUGGAAUAAAGCAUGAUACAUGAGCAAAAAUUGAUACACCACAACGGUAUUGUGCAUCUUAUGGUCAUAGGUGUAAUUAGGGGUGUAAAGUGUAAACGAGCCAAGUCUCUUAUAAGUUACUUGAAAUCAGUUCACUAAAAUAAUUGAAUAGAGCUAAGCUAACACAGAUAUGACCCUAAAACUAAGCGUGUUUAGUAAAUAAACCCGAACCCAAACCCAAAAUUUACUUUUUUUUUAACGGCAAAUUUGAAUCACUUACAGACCACUGGAGUAUCAUCAUGACAUCAGCGGAACCACCAGAUCAUAUUUAUCUCCACUAGGCAAUAAUGCUUAUACACCAAUUCAAGAGGAAACCCAAUAAAUCUAAGAAAAAACCUCUUAUGAAAAUCGAACUCAGGACCUAAUAGCCCCUAAAACUUAUCCCAUCCUAAAAUACUACUAGACUAUAAGGAUAUAAUGCCAUGGCAACCCAAAUUUUACUUAUCAGGUCAAAUAGCUUAAACAACAAAACACCACUUAAACCACCUUGCUGGCCACCUUUAUAUAAUUAUGACCCAUCACCCUCCACAUGACAGUUUUGGCAAGUGGCAGCGACAAACCUUCGCGUCUUGCAAAUUCUAGAAAAUGUUUCUUUUAAAAAAGUGUGCACAAGGUUAUGGUCAAUAUUUCACAUUAAUGUCAUUAGAAGUUUCAAUAUGCCAAGCACAUGUGGUUUUGGAUCAGUGAGACAGAUACAUCACAUCACACACUUAUUUAUGGGAUUGUACAUUACCAUGUGUCUUCACAGUAUAAAAUUGAAAUUUUAUGUUAGACUCAAAAAGUAAUUUAUCCUAUACGAUAUUAAAACAUCUAUUGUUUGUUUUUUCUUUCUAAAAAGUGACAUUUUAUGUCACAUGAUUAAGUAGAUGAAUAGUUAUCCUGCACAAAUCCAAUUUUUUCAUUGUGAGUUACAUACCCAUAUAACACUAAAUCACGUAGUAAUGUAUUUUUUUAAGUACGGAAAGGGCCUUGUUAUCAAUAUUUUUAUUUGUGUUUGAGUCAUAACCCUUUAUGUCUUUAUAUACAGUUGCUAGUAUUUCAGGUAACAUACUCAAAGAUAAAGGGAAGAGUAAAGAGCCUUUGGGUGGAUCGAAUAUAUUGUAAAAGCUAAUGUUUUGUAUGUUAGAAAUAGCCUAUUAUGUGGCCAUCAUGAUUAUUUAGCUAAACUUUAUCAAAAUGACGUAACUAUAAGUCUCUAACGUUUACUUGAUGCUCUAACGUUUACUUGAUG
Long non-coding RNA from Helianthus annuus (common sunflower), 5614 nucleotides. RefSeq lists it as uncharacterized. The transcript has 3 exons. The record is from RefSeq and is a predicted model, not a curated record. NCBI's taxonomy places the organism in Eukaryota, Viridiplantae, Streptophyta, Magnoliopsida, Asterales, Asteraceae.